UACGGGGGGGGCAAGCGUUGUUCGGAAUUACUGGGCGUAAAGGGCUCGUAGGCGGCCAACUAAGUCAGACGUGAAAUCCCUCGGCUUAACCGGGGAACUGCGUCUGAUACUGGAUGGCUUGAGUGUGGGAGAGGGAUGCGGAAUUCCAGGUGUAGCGGUGAAAUGCGUAGAUAUCUGGAGGAACACCGGUGGCGAAGGCGGCUCACUGGCCCGGUACUGACGCUGAGGUGCGAAAGCGUGGGGAGCAAACAGG
This 253-nucleotide ribosomal RNA is filed under the name uncultured bacterium. RNAcentral's name for it is "partial 16S ribosomal RNA". It matches the Rfam family "Bacterial small subunit ribosomal RNA", at positions 524 to 776 of the family's 1533-position model. The record is from RNAcentral.